CAGUUCUAUGCGGCGUCACCAGGAAGGGGAGACAAAAACCUAGUCAUUUCUUGCCAUCUAAUACAUGAAGAUGAGAACAGGGACAAGACUUACAAUGACUCCCUACAGCCUUGCCUUUUAUGUGACACAGCAUGCAAUCCUCAGCCAUCUACUCCUGGCAGAACGCUUCAAUGUUCCAGUUCCCCCUUAUAUCUGUUCUUGGAAACUGUGGCUUAAGGCUCUUUUAGCUGCCUAUGGACUCCUACAGACACCCAACAUCUCUAUGCAAAAACUCCCUGUGAAGAAAGCAAUGUUUCCAACCCUGGAGCUUUCGCGGAAUGGCGAUUUAACACGUUUGGCUCAUAAAAUAUGGAUGUGUAUAUUUUUAAAGAACCAGUUGUGGAGCAGAA
Molecule: long non-coding RNA, 389 nt
Organism: Anolis carolinensis (green anole)
Lineage: Eukaryota; Metazoa; Chordata; Lepidosauria; Squamata; Anolidae
Exons: 2
Source: RefSeq, a predicted model, not a curated record